UACGGGGGGGGUAAGCGUUGUUCGGAAUUACUGGGCGUAAAGGGCGUGUAGGCGGUUUGUCAAGUCGGGUGUGAAAGCCUGGGGCUCAGCCUCAGAAGUGCAUCCGAAACUAGCGAGCUGGAGCGCGAUAGAGGAGGGUGGAAUUCCUGGUGUAGCGGUGAAAUGCGUAGAUAUCAGGAGGAACACCGGCGGCGAAGGCGGCCCUCUGGAUCGUUGCUGACGCUGAGACGCGAAAGCGUGGGGAGCAAACAGG
This 253-nucleotide ribosomal RNA is filed under the name uncultured bacterium. RNAcentral describes it as "partial 16S ribosomal RNA". It matches the Rfam family "Bacterial small subunit ribosomal RNA", at positions 524 to 776 of the family's 1533-position model. The record is from RNAcentral.